RNAcentral lists this ribosomal RNA (1082 nucleotides) under Escherichia coli. RNAcentral's name for it is "partial 23S ribosomal RNA". It matches the Rfam family "Bacterial large subunit ribosomal RNA", at positions 612 to 1696 of the family's 2925-position model. Lineage: Bacteria; Pseudomonadati; Pseudomonadota; Gammaproteobacteria; Enterobacterales; Enterobacteriaceae. The record is from RNAcentral.
AUAAUGGGUCAGCGACUUAUAUUCUGUAGCAAGGUUAACCGAAUAGGGGAGCCGAAGGGAAACCGAGUCUUAACUGGGCGUUAAGUUGCAGGGUAUAGACCCGAAACCCGGUGAUCUAGCCAUGGGCAGGUUGAAGGUUGGGUAACACUAACUGGAGGACCGAACCGACUAAUGUUGAAAAAUUAGCGGAUGACUUGUGGCUGGGGGUGAAAGGCCAAUCAAACCGGGAGAUAGCUGGUUCUCCCCGAAAGCUAUUUAGGUAGCGCCUCGUGAAUUCAUCUCCGGGGGUAGAGCACUGUUUCGGCAAGGGGGUCAUCCCGACUUACCAACCCGAUGCAAACUGCGAAUACCGGAGAAUGUUAUCACGGGAGACACACGGCGGGUGCUAACGUCCGUCGUGAAGAGGGAAACAACCCAGACCGCCAGCUAAGGUCCCAAAGUCAUGGUUAAGUGGGAAACGAUGUGGGAAGGCCCAGACAGCCAGGAUGUUGGCUUAGAAGCAGCCAUCAUUUAAAGAAAGCGUAAUAGCUCACUGGUCGAGUCGGCCUGCGCGGAAGAUGUAACGGGGCUAAACCAUGCACCGAAGCUGCGGCAGCGACGCUGAUGCGUUGUUGGGUAGGGGAGCGUUCUGUAAGCCUGUGAAGGUGUGCUGUGAGGCAUGCUGGAGGUAUCAGAAGUGCGAAUGCUGACAUAAGUAACGAUAAAGCGGGUGAAAAGCCCGCUCGCCGGAAGACCAAGGGUUCCUGUCCAACGUUAAUCGGGGCAGGGUGAGUCGACCCCUAAGGCGAGGCCGAAAGGCGUAGUCGAUGGGAAACAGGUUAAUAUUCCUGUACUUGGUGUUACUGCGAAGGGGGGACGGAGAAGGCUAUGUUGGCCGGGCGACGGUUGUCCCGGUUUAAGCGUGUAGGCUGGUUUUCCAGGCAAAUCCGGAAAAUCAAGGCUGAGGCGUGAUGACGAGGCACUACGGUGCUGAAGCAACAAAUGCCCUGCUUCCAGGAAAAGCCUCUAAGCAUCAGGUAACAUCAAAUCGUACCCCAAACCGACACAGGUGGUCAGGUAGAGAAUACCAAGGCGCUUGAGAG